RNAcentral lists this ribosomal RNA (301 nucleotides) under uncultured bacterium. RNAcentral describes it as "partial 16S ribosomal RNA". It matches the Rfam family "Bacterial small subunit ribosomal RNA", at positions 509 to 807 of the family's 1533-position model. The record is from RNAcentral.
CAGCCGCCGCGGGAAUACGAAGGGUGCAAGCGUUAAUCGGAAUUACUGGGCGUAAAGCGUGCGUAGGCGGUUUGUUAAGUCUGCUGUGAAAUCCCCGGGCUCAACCUGGGAAUGGCAGUGGAUACUGGCAAGCUAGAGUGUGUCAGAGGAUGGUGGAAUUCCCGGUGUAGCGGUGAAAUGCGUAGAGAUCGGGAGGAACAUCAGUGGCGAAGGCGGCCAUCUGGGACAACACUGACGCUGAGGCACGAAAGCGUGGGGAGCAAACAGGAUUAGAUACCCCUGUAGUCCCUGUCUCUUAUAC